GGGUCUGUAGCUCAGAUGGAAGAGCACACUCCUGAUAAGAGUGAGGUCGGUAGUUCAAGUCUGCCCAGACCCA
Molecule: transfer RNA, 73 nt
Filed under: Candidatus Portiera aleyrodidarum (primary endosymbiont of Bemisia tabaci)
Lineage: Bacteria; Pseudomonadati; Pseudomonadota; Gammaproteobacteria; Johnevansiales (SeqCode); Johnevansiaceae (SeqCode)
Description: tRNA-Ile (GAT) (tRNA-Ile-GAT-1-1)
Rfam family: tRNA
About the family: Transfer RNA (tRNA) molecules are approximately 80 nucleotides in length.
Source: RNAcentral